Molecule: transfer RNA, 73 nt
Filed under: Stephanasterias albula
Lineage: Eukaryota; Metazoa; Echinodermata; Asteroidea; Forcipulatida; Asteriidae
Description: tRNA-Leu
Rfam family: tRNA
About the family: Transfer RNA (tRNA) molecules are approximately 80 nucleotides in length. Their secondary structure includes four short double-helical elements and three loops (D, anti-codon, and T loops).
Source: RNAcentral
GCUUGAGUAGCAAAGAAGGUUAAUGCUUGAGAUUUAGGAUCUUAUAUCAAAGGUUCAAAUCCUUUCUCUAGUU